This 253-nucleotide ribosomal RNA is filed under the name uncultured bacterium. RNAcentral's name for it is "partial 16S ribosomal RNA". It matches the Rfam family "Bacterial small subunit ribosomal RNA", at positions 524 to 776 of the family's 1533-position model. The record is from RNAcentral.
UACGGAGGGCGCAAGCGUUGUUCGGAAUUACUGGGCGUAAAGCGCGUGUAGGCGGCCAGGUAAGUCGGAUGUGAAAGCCCGGGGCCUAACCCCGGAACUGCACCCGAUACUGCCUGGCUGGAGUCCCGGAGAGGAUGGCGGAAUUUCCGGUGUAGAGGUGAAAUUCGUAGAUAUCGGAAGGAACACCAGUGGCGAAGGCGGCGACCUGGGCCAAUACUGACGCUGAGGUGCGAAAGCGUGGGGAGCAAACAGG